GACGAACGCUGGCGGCGUGCUUAACACAUGCAAGUCGAACGAUGAAGCCGGAGCUUGCUCCGGUGGAUUAGUGGCGAACGGGUGAGUAACACGUGGGUGAUCUGCCCUGCACUUCGGGAUAAGCCUGGGAAACUGGGUCUAAUACCGGAUAGGACUCCGGACUGCAUGGUCUGGGGUGGAAAGCUUUUGCGGUGUGGGAUGGGCCCGCGGCCUAUCAGCUUGUUGGUGGGGUGAUGGCCUACCAAGGCGACGACGGGUAGCCGGCCUGAGAGGGUGACCGGCCACACUGGGACUGAGAUACGGCCCAGACUCCUACGGGAGGCAGCAGUGGGGAAUAUUGCACAAUGGGCGCAAGCCUGAUGCAGCGACGCCGCGUGAGGGAUGACGGCCUUCGGGUUGUAAACCUCUUUCAGCAUCGACGAAGCGAAAGUGACGGUAGGUGCAGAAGAAGGACCGGCCAACUACGUGCCAGCCGCCGCGGUAA
Molecule: ribosomal RNA, 484 nt
Filed under: uncultured bacterium
Lineage: Bacteria
Description: partial 16S ribosomal RNA
Rfam family: Bacterial small subunit ribosomal RNA
Source: RNAcentral